UUUGAACAUCCCUGACAGAUGGUCACAAGU
This 30-nucleotide non-coding RNA is filed under the name Rattus norvegicus (Norway rat). Lineage: Eukaryota; Metazoa; Chordata; Mammalia; Rodentia; Muridae. The record is from RNAcentral.